This 794-nucleotide long non-coding RNA is filed under the name Gallus gallus (chicken). Its description in RNAcentral is "lncRNA (ENSGALG00010012189.1)". The record is from RNAcentral. Lineage: Eukaryota; Metazoa; Chordata; Aves; Galliformes; Phasianidae.
CUUGCACUGCCUGGGAUUGCACCUUGGGCUGAGCCAAUCUUUCGUUCUGCUUGGGGAAGAAUAACAGCCGGGUUUCUCCAUAAAACAACAUCUCAGUUCAGAUGGGGACCCUGGCAGUAGCUCAGCACCUGUGUACUUGACUACUUACUGCUGACAAGCCCUGUUGCCGGUAAUCUAGAUUUAUGGUCCUUUGCUCCACCUUGGCUGCCGCACCAGCUGAUACAUGCUGCAGGGUGCACUUGCAUUCACCCUCCUGAUGACAUCCAGACUGCUGCAUUUGCUGCAUUAGGUUUAGAAUCAUAGAAUCAUUAACGUUGGAGAAGAUCAUCCUGUACAACCAUCAGCCCACUAAUCCACGAUCCUCAGUGUCAGUUCUGCUUUUGUUGUUGGACUGGCUGAAGCCUUUCUCCCACAUACAGCAGGCAGACCUGUCCAGUCUAGGAACAACUUUCACCAUCCUACACUUACAAAAAUAAUGUUUUGACUCUGUCUGUGGAACGACCACUUUGCUGUGGGCAGCAGAAAUUUUUUACAGGUGGCGGCAAUACCACAUUGAGCAGUUUGGUGGUUUUAGAAAGGCAAUAAAAAAGCCUAACUUCUUAGUGGAAAAAAUAGGUUGGCCUUAACAUUUUAACCUAAUACUGUCAGACAUGUCGAACCAGAAAUAACACUCCUAAAGCCCUGACGUGCUCUCUUGCGAUUCUGUUUGCGUAGCAAAGUGGCACAAAUAGUGACAUGCCAGGCUUGUGGGCGCUGCAGUCAUACAGGUUUUCCCUAUAAUUAUUGGCUGUUAA